Molecule: ribosomal RNA, 399 nt
Filed under: uncultured bacterium
Lineage: Bacteria
Description: partial 16S ribosomal RNA
Rfam family: Bacterial small subunit ribosomal RNA
Source: RNAcentral
CCUACGGGCGGCAGCAGUGAGGAAUAUUGGUCAAUGGGCGUAAGCCUGAACCAGCCAAGUCGCGUGAGGGAUGAAGGUUCUAUGGAUCGUAAACUUCUUUUAUAUGGGAAUAAAUUAUGGUACGUGUACUAUUUUGUAUGUACCAUAUGAAUAAGGAUCGGCUAACUCCGUGCCAGCAGCCGCGGUAAUACGGAGGAUCCGAGCGUUAUCCGGAUUUAUUGGGUUUAAAGGGUGCGUAGGCGGAUUGUUAAGUCAGCGGUGAAAGUCUGUGGCUCAACCGUAGAAUUGCAGUUGAAACUGGGGGGCUUGAGUACGGUAGAGGCAGGCGGAAUGCGUGGUGUAGCGGUGAAAUGCUUAGAUAUCACGAAGAACCCCGAUUGCGAAGGCAGCUUACUGGGC